GCUGGGUGUGGUGGUGCACACCUGUAAUCCCAGUGACUCUGGAGCCUGAGGCAGGAGAAUCACAAGUUCAAAGUCAGCCUUGACAAUUUAGUGAGACCCUCUCAA
RNAcentral lists this small RNA (105 nucleotides) under Marmota monax (woodchuck). The record is from RNAcentral. Lineage: Eukaryota; Metazoa; Chordata; Mammalia; Rodentia; Sciuridae.